Molecule: non-coding RNA, 206 nt
Organism: Oryza glumipatula
Lineage: Eukaryota; Viridiplantae; Streptophyta; Magnoliopsida; Poales; Poaceae
Source: Rfam
UUUAAGUACAACUAUAAAUUUUCGUACUCAACUUUGAUCAACCGUCUUAUUUGAAAUUUUUUUAUAAUUAGUAUUUUUUGUUGUUAUGAGAUAAUAAAACAUAAAUAUUACUUUACUCGUGACUUAUGUUUUUAAAUUUUUUCAAAAAAUAUUCAAAUAAGACGGACGGUGAAAGUUGAGCGUAAAAAACUAUGGUUAUACUUGAA